This 403-nucleotide ribosomal RNA is filed under the name uncultured bacterium. RNAcentral's name for it is "partial 16S ribosomal RNA". It matches the Rfam family "Bacterial small subunit ribosomal RNA", at positions 28 to 526 of the family's 1533-position model. The record is from RNAcentral.
GACGAACGCUGGCGGCGUGCCUAAUACAUGCAAGUCGAACGCAGUGGGGACGGGUGAGUAACACGUGGGUAACCUCCCAUCAGAGGGGAUAACACUUGGAAACAGGUGCUAAACCGAUACUGAUGGAUGGACCCGCGGUGCAUUAGCUAGUUGGUGAGGUAACGGCUCACCAAGGCCACGAUGCAUAGCCGACCGGAUAGGGGGAGCGGCCACACUGGGACUGGGACACGGCCCAGACUCCGACGGGAGGCGGCAGGAGGGAAUCUUCGGAGAUGGACGAAAGUCUGACCGAGCAACUCCGCGUGAGUGAAGAGGGUUUUCGGAUCGUAAAACUCUGUUGUUAGAGAAGCGGUAUCUAACCGGAAAGCCACGGCUAACUACGGGGCAGGAGGCGCGGUGAUUC